Non-coding RNA from Salvelinus sp. IW2-2015, 1908 nucleotides. The record is from RefSeq and is a predicted model, not a curated record. NCBI's taxonomy places the organism in Eukaryota, Metazoa, Chordata, Actinopteri, Salmoniformes, Salmonidae.
UAUGUGGGAGUAAAGAUUACAACCUACCGUGAUAUAUUUUUCCCCCGCUGCUAAUUGUUUAAAAACUACAAGUCCUACAUUCCACAAGCGGCAUGCGCCAAUCACAGUAGAGUUUUAUGUGAUGACGCAGUCCAGUCAGAGUGAGAGAAAGGUGAACAACACUGGAAAAAAGUAUCGGUAUAGGCUAUAAAUGAAUUUGCAUACAUCUCUAAAAAUGAAGCCCAUUACAUUUUAUUUUAAGCGAAAAAGAGACGAGGAGAAAGAGGAAUCCGGCGAGGGGGAUUCGCAAGGUUCAUCUAAUGAAGCCCUUUCACAAGGUUUACCUGAGGUGGCUAACGUUAGGGAUGCUGAGAACAACUUGAGCGAAGCUGCUGAGAACAAUGUUAGCGAAACUACCGUGAUCCCCGCUGUCACUUCAACGUCCACUGUAGCCGGCGGAGGGAGAACAUAUAGAUUCAAUGCGAAUUGGCUCAAAAUGUUCCCAUGGCUAGAGUUCGAAAACAACGUCAUGUUCUGCAAAUAUUGUAGAGGGCAGAAACAGGCUCGUCCUUCGUGUCAGGAAACCCACAUCUGAAAAGAGAGAACAUCUCGCGGCGGCAUAUCCAGUGCAGAGAUCUUUACCUGUUGAGACGGUGUCCGCAGCAUUGAGGAGGCAAGUGCUGCUGUCUGAGGAGAAGAUGCGGCACCUGAAAUUGAAGAUAAACAUAGCAUAUUCAUUGUGAAGAAAGAAACUUUAGUCAAAUUUGAGCCGCUUAUCAGACUCCACCACAAAAACGGAGUUGACAUUAAUACCACAUACGACAAUGAGAUAAAAUGUGCGGAGAUGAUCGGUCAAAUUGUUGACAUAAUGAGAGAGAGCCUGUCAGCAAAGCUGAGAGCCGCAAGGUAUCUUGCCGUUCUAAUAGACAGAGACACUGAUAUAUCCAACACCAAAUGCAAGAUUUUCUACUUGCGCUUGUUGGAGGAUGGGAAGCCAGUCAAUCUCCUGGUCGGCACAACAGACCCUUGAGCACUCCCAUGCCAUUGGUGUUUUGGAUGCCACCAAGGCUACAUUUCGUGCUGUUUGUCCAGAGGAGGAUGGAGGGUCAUGGAUGAAGAAGUGCAUCUCCUUCGGGGCAGAUGGUGCCUCCGUGAACAUGGGCCAACGUGGGGGAGUGAUUGCCCACCUGCAGAGAGAGGCAAGGGGGCAUAUAUUCCCAAUCCACUGUAUAGGGAAUAACACUGAAGGGGAAUCUGAAAGGCUUCAUGGACCUCACCAAUCCCCAGCUGAAGCAGCAUAUGGAGCCGGCCAGCAACAUCGGCGUGGAUGAUCUCAAAGCCAGGAUUGGUGGUUUCCAGACCCCAGUGGAGUCUUUCAAAGUGCUAAACCCUGACACAUGGCCAGAAGACCAGGCCAGCCUUCUCACCUUUGGCGAUGAUGGUGUGGCAGACUUGAUGAGGCAUUUCAAGGAGCCCUAGAGAGAUCGGGGUGCAACAUGGCUGCAAUCCAGGAUGAGUGGCAGGGGCUGAAAAUCCCGGUCAGCCACAAUUUCAAGGACAAGUCCUACAGUGGCCUGUGGGAGACCAUGUUGACAAAGGACCCCUACAGGCACGAUUACAAGAACAUACUGGAGUUGGUGCAGCUUAUGCUGGCGCUGCCCAUUUCAGCCGCCCAGUGUGAGCGAGGCUUCUCUGCACAGAACCGGAUAAAGAAUUUGACAAGAAGCUGCCUUGGGGCCUCCACCACCGAAGACCUGAUGAGGAUCAGCCUGGAUUGGCCUUCUGUCGAGGAGUUCGAUCCCACUCCUGCCGUGGACCGCUGGCUGACCUCUAAGCAUGCCAGACGGCCAACAUACAAAAGCAGCUGGACAACUGAUAUCCUUUGUGUCUAGUAAGCAUGGGUCAAUGUGUGAUUUGUGGUAUGUGCUG